AACGAACGCUGGCGGCAUGCCUAACACAUGCAAGUCGAACGAGACCUUCGGGUCUAGUGGCGCACGGGGGCGUAACGCGGGGGAACCUGCCCGUAGGUUCGGAAUAACUCCCCGAAAGGGGUGCUAAUACCGGAUAAUGUCUUCGGACCAAAGAUUUAUCGCCUUUGGAUGGGCCCGCGUUGGCUUAGCUGGUUGGUAGGGUAAAAGCCUACCAGGGCGACGAUCCAUAGCUGGUCUGAGAGAAUGGUCAGCGACACUGGGACGGGGACACGGCCCAGACUACUACGGGAGGGGGGAGUGGGGAAUAUUGGACAACCGGCGGAGGCAUGAUGCAGCAAUGCCGCGUGAGUGAUGAAGGUCUUAGGGUUGUACAGCUCUUUUACCCGGGAUGAUAAUGACAGUACCGGGAGAAUAAGCACCGGCUAACUCCGUG
This 433-nucleotide ribosomal RNA is filed under the name uncultured bacterium. Its description in RNAcentral is "partial 16S ribosomal RNA". It matches the Rfam family "Bacterial small subunit ribosomal RNA", at positions 29 to 507 of the family's 1533-position model. The record is from RNAcentral.